Molecule: ribosomal RNA, 393 nt
Filed under: uncultured bacterium
Lineage: Bacteria
Description: partial 16S ribosomal RNA
Rfam family: Bacterial small subunit ribosomal RNA
Source: RNAcentral
AUACGGAGGAUGCAAGCGUUAUCCGGAUUUAUUGGGUUUAAAGGGUGCGUAGGCGGUUUGCUAAGCGGGAGGUGAAAUGCCGGCGCUCAACGUCGGAAGUGCCUCCCGAACUGGUGGACUUGAAUGACUCUGCCGUGGGAGGAAUGUGUAGUGUAGCGGUGAAAUGCUUAGAGAUUACACAGAACACCGAUUGCGAAGGCAUCUCACGAAGUGUUGAUUGACGCUGAGGCACGAAAGCGUGGGGAUCAAACAGGAUUAGAUACCCUGGUAGGCCACGCAGUAAUCGAUGAAGGCUAACCGCUGGGCUUAUCAGUUCAGUGGCCAAGCGAAAGCGAUAAGCCAUCCACCUGGGGAGUACGACCGCAAGGUUGAAACUCAAAUGAAUUGACGGGG